GCUGCUGGCAGACGGCGUGAAGGUGAACAGACAUGGGGUUUUAUGAUAUGCAAAAUCACUCAUGAACAACUAAACUGGAAACCAGGGAGGAGAGCAUAAUGAGCUUCCCUUCUUAGCUUAGAUUUCUAGGAGAAUCCUCAGGCAUAACAACAGGAACACAGCCAGUGCAGCUGCCCCACGUGGAUGAUCAGAGGCGACGUCUUACUCUCCACAAAGCCAAGUUUGGUCAAGCUCCUCACAGCUGUUUCCCACAGAGAGGAAAUCCCCUAAGUUCCCAGGCAGUGUAAACUGACCGUGUGUUUAUAAAAUAGACGCCAUGCCCCAAGAACAUGAAAACAGUCCAGAUGCAUGAACCUGCAAUGCAGCAGUGAUUCAAGACACUUGGGAGUAGGGAGGAGAGCGUGAGUGAGAGAACGCUUCAAUGCCGAAGCAGAGUGGCUGUUCUCUGGAGAACACCCAAACUGAUCUAAAGCCAAAGUUCAAAAAAUAACAAACAUGCAAGCCUUUUGAAAACAAAUUGUGCCUAGAUAUCUUUGCAAGCUGAGUGGUCAGCCCUCAGACAGUGCUAUGAGGGAGUGAUUGCAGACCACCCAGCACCCAAGGAAUUAGGGGCAGUUCAUGCUGUCCCUGUGUCCAAGGGCUCCGAGAGCUCAGAUUAAAAUUCUUUCUGCCCAGCUUUUGCAAGAUGGAACCAAAAGAGCCCACUUGUGAGAAGGCAGGGGAUUGAGGAGGGUCCCCUCCUCCCAGUACGGACUGUGUGGUGCCUUCAGAUGAGCUGUUUUGUUUCACGCUGAGCUGAGCUCACCUAGGCGAUGACCUUGUGACAAGAAUACCAGGCUGAGUCCAGAUCAGCAAAGAGGGGACAGGAAGAGGAAGAGGAAGAGAGAAGCAAGUGCAGCCAUGCGAAGCUGUGACUGACAGAAGCCAAGUCAGAACUGCUGGUUAACAUAAUUUUUAAUCCUUCAUCAGGGCUGGUAAAAUGUUGACAAAGGAGAGUCCUUGUAGUGAAUCUCUCAGUCUAUUAAGAAAGCUGUUUCAGACCCAGGGACAUAAGGCAGGUGUAUUGGAGUCAUCAGACUCUCUACAAAAUAUUAGUCAUCAGCUCUGCAAAAACCCCGUGGGCUGCACUGGGGCGUGAGUCCCUCAAAGUUUAACUAAACAUGGCAAACUGGAUGUACACAGACAACCUUAAUAGCUUCUGGGGAUUCUGGAAAGAGCUGGGGACCGGCUCCCUUAAAAAUCUACUCUAAGAAAAUUCACCGCAGGCCCAGCGUGGCUCCUGACCUGGAGGAUAACAAUGAUAAUGGAAGUGCUGUUAAAAGUAAGAAUGACUAUGAGUUAUUGAGUUUUUCAUCUGCUCAGGCACCGUGCUGGGCCUACACAGUAUCUCAUUCAGUCCUACUAAGGACCAUUACUGUCCCUUUCCUACCUAGGGGAAAAGGAGAUUGAGAGAAGUCAAACCGCUUUCUCACGGUGACAGGGUAGGCGGUGGAGCCAGAAUACAAAUGCAGGGGCUCCAGCCUCAAAGCCCGUGCUCUCUGCUCACAUUGGCCCACCCAGGACAGACGCUGUCGGGAUGUCCUGGGGGUUUCACACUGUUAAGAAAUAAUAACGAGUGAGAGCCAAGGUGUACUCUGGAUCUACCUGAAGCACCCAACUCACUCCCUUCCAUGAUGUGACUAACGGCGUUUCAGAUCUGUUUGUGCUCCGACCUGACCUCAGGAAGCCAAAGUCCCCUGAGGUCUGGGGUGUGUAUGCUUGGGGACCCGAAAUUAGAGGCACACCUACCUAGGAUUGAAUGUAACGAUCUAAUCAAGAAAAGACAAGGUCUCACUCUGUUGCCCAGGCUGGAGUGCAGUGGUGUGAUCUUGGCUCCCUGCAGCCUCGACCUCCUAGGCUCGAGUGAUCCUCCUGCCUCAGCCUCCCGAGUACCUGGGACUAUAGAGCAGUCUUCUUCCCUCUCCCCAGCCUCCCCAAAGACCUGCAAAUUUUGUUUUCUGUUAAGUGCUCAUCUCCCCCGACCCCCCUACAGCUGGGGAAGGUGUUGGUAUCUCCAGCGACUUCAGGCUUCAAGUUUCCUUCUAGGAGGGAAGCUGCUUUCGCUGCUGCUUUCAAGUGACCCGGAUCUCAUUAAACAUACUGAUGUGGGGUGUGCUUCUGAGAAGGUGCCUGAGAAAUGAACUUGGCUUGCUUGUUGCCUUUGAGGGUCUGUGGGAGAGAAUCAUAAGCCUGUCCAGAUCUUAUCUUCUCAGGAAGGGGCAGGAAAACAACACAGCAAAACAGCUGCCCGGACGAGAACACCAUCUAGUGUCUUCACACAACACACCCACAUUUGGUGGUUUCUGUUUCCCAUGAAGAUGAAAGAGGAGGGGAGAGGCGUGUCAGGGAUUCCCUGAGCCCUGAUAGGAGGGUUCAACUGGGCGAGGAAGGGACCAUCAGGCCAACCCAUGUAGGUGGACCCACUCAGCUCUCAGGACUCAUCUCCUCCACCUGGACCGCUCUCCCUGGUGGGGCAUUGAGGGACUGAGGGCUCUGGUUUUGUUCUCUAGAAGAGGUGAUCCAUCAUUAAAAAUCUAUUAAACAUGCAAAAAAAAAAAAAAAA
RNAcentral lists this long non-coding RNA (2602 nucleotides) under Homo sapiens (human). Its description in RNAcentral is "uncharacterized LOC100132078 (LOC100132078)". The record is from RNAcentral. Lineage: Eukaryota; Metazoa; Chordata; Mammalia; Primates; Hominidae.